Molecule: ribosomal RNA, 250 nt
Filed under: uncultured bacterium
Lineage: Bacteria
Description: partial 16S ribosomal RNA
Rfam family: Bacterial small subunit ribosomal RNA
Source: RNAcentral
GACGGAGGAGGCAAGCGUUAUCCGGAAUUAUUGGGCGUAAAGCGUCCGCAGGCGGCUUAUUAAGUCUGUUGUCAAAGCCCACAGCUCAACUGUGGAUCGGCAAUGGAAACUGGUGAGCUAGAGUGUGGUAGGGGUAGAGGGAAUUCCCGGUGUAGCGGUGAAAUGCGUAGAUAUCGGGAAGAACACCAGUGGCGAAGGCGCUCUACUGGGCCACAACUGACGCUGAGGGACGAAAGCUAGGGGAGCGAAA